Molecule: ribosomal RNA, 151 nt
Filed under: uncultured bacterium
Lineage: Bacteria
Description: partial 16S ribosomal RNA
Rfam family: Bacterial small subunit ribosomal RNA
Source: RNAcentral
GAGGAAUAUUGGUCAAUGGGCGGGAGCCUGAACCAGCCAAGUCGCGUGAGGGAUGACGGUCCUAUGGAUUGUAAACCUCUUUUGUCAGGGAGCAAAGGGCGUCACGUGUGGCGUUUUGAGAGUACCUGAAGAAAAAGCAUCGGCUAACUCC